AACGAACGCUGGCGGCAUGCCUAACACAUGCAAGUCGAACGAGACCUUCGGGCCUAGUGGUGCACGGGUGCGUAACGCGUGGGAACCUGCCCUUAGGUUCGGAAUAACCCCCCGAAAGGGGUGCUCAUCUCGGAUAGUGUCCUCGGACCAAAGAUCUAUCGCCGUUGGAUGGGCGCGCGUUGGAUUAGCUUGUUGGUGGGGUAAGAGCCUACCGAGGCGACGAUGGGUAGCUGUUCUGAGAGGAUGAGCCGCCACACUGGAACUGAGACACGGUCCAGACUACUGGGGGAGGCACCAGUCGGGAAUAUUGCACAAUGGGCGCAAGGGGGAUUCAGGGAUGACGGGGGUAUGAAGAAGGCAUCAGGGCUGGAAAGUAGUUUAAGCGGGGAGGGAGGGAAUAAAGUUAAUCCCGGGGCUCAAUGACGUUACCCGGAGAAGAAGCACCGGCUAACUCCGUG
Molecule: ribosomal RNA, 458 nt
Filed under: uncultured bacterium
Lineage: Bacteria
Description: partial 16S ribosomal RNA
Rfam family: Bacterial small subunit ribosomal RNA
Source: RNAcentral